AGAGUUUGAUCCUGGCUCAGGAUGAACGCUGGCGGCGUGCUUAACACAUGCAAGUCGAACGAACCUUCGGGUUAGUGGCGGACGGGUGAGUAACGCGUGGGAAUCUGCCCUCAGGAGGGGGAUAACGGCUGGAAACGGCCGCUAAUACCCCAUAUGCCGAGAGGUGAAAUGAAUUUCGCCUGAGGAUGAGCCCGCGUCUGAUUAGCUUGUUGGUGAGGUAAUGGCUCACCAAGGCUUCGAUCAGUAGCUGGUCUGAGAGGAUGAUCAGCCACACUGGGACUGAGACACGGCCCAGACUCCUACGGGAGGCAGCAGUGGGGAAUUUUCCGCAAUGGGCGAAAGCCUGACGGAGCAACGCCGCGUGAGGGAUGAAGGCCUCUGGGCUGUAAACCUCUUUUCUCAAGGAAGAAGAUCUGACGGUACUUGAGGAAUAAGCCACGGCUAAUUCCGUGCCAGCAGCCGCGGUAAUACGGGAGUGGCAAGCGUUAUCCGGAAUUAUUGGGCGUAAAGCGUCCGCAGGCGGCCCUUCAAGUCUGCUGUUAAAGCGUGGAGCUUAACUCCAUCAUGGCAGUGGAAACUGUUGGGCUUGAGUGUGGUAGGGGCAGAGGGAAUUCCCGGUGUAGCGGUGAAAUGCGUAGAUAUCGGGAAGAACACCAGUGGCGAAGGCGCUCUGCUGGGCCAUCACUGACGCUCAUGGACGAAAGCCAGGGGAGCGAAAGGGAUUAGAUACCCCUGUAGUCCUGGCCGUAAACGAUGAACACUAGGUGUCGGGGGAAUCGACCCCCUCGGUGUCGUAGCCAACGCGUUAAGUGUUCCGCCUGGGGAGUACGCACGCAAGUGUGAAACUCAAAGGAAUUGACGGGGGCCCGCACAAGCGGUGGAGUAUGUGGUUUAAUUCGAUGCAACGCGAAGAACCUUACCAGGGUUUGACAUCCUGCGAACCUCUUGGAAACAGGAGGGUGCCUUCGGGAACGCAGUGACAGGUGGUGCAUGGCUGUCGUCAGCUCGUGUCGUGAGAUGUUGGGUUAAGUCCCGCAACGAGCGCAACCCACGUCUUUAGUUGCCAGCAUUUAGUUGGGCACUCUAGAGAGACCGCCGGUGAUAAACCGGAGGAAGGUGUGGAUGACGUCAAGUCAUCAUACCCCUUACAUCCUGGGCUACACACGUACUACAAUGCUACGGACAGAGGGCAGCAAGUUCGCGAGGACAAGCAAAUCCCAUAAACCGUGGCUCAGUUCAGAUCGUAGGCUGCAACUCGCCUACGUGAAGGAGGAAUCGCUAGUAAUCGCAGGUCAGCAUACUGCGGUGAAUACGUUCCCGGGCCUUGUACACACCGCCCGUCACACCAUGGAAGUUGGCCACGCCCGAAGCCGUUACUCCAACCCUCGGGAGGAGGACGUCGAAGGUGGGGCUGAUGACUGGGGUGAAGUCGUAACAAGGUAACC
This 1445-nucleotide ribosomal RNA is filed under the name uncultured bacterium. Its description in RNAcentral is "bacterial SSU rRNA". It matches the Rfam family "Bacterial small subunit ribosomal RNA". The record is from RNAcentral.